CCUGCCCCUAGAGGCCUUGCAGGAAUGGCUGCUGUAUAACAAGUGUGUCAGUAUGUGGCAGGGAGGAGAGAGCCUACAUCUACACUCAGGGUGCUGACCUGUGAAUAUUGAGUGUUUAGUAGCCUAACAUU
This is a small nucleolar RNA of Meriones unguiculatus (Mongolian gerbil), 131 nucleotides long. The record is from Ensembl. Lineage: Eukaryota; Metazoa; Chordata; Mammalia; Rodentia; Muridae.